AGGGGUAUAGCUCAGUGGUAGAAUGCAUGACACCCAUGCAGGAGGUCCUGGGUUCAAUCCCCAGUACUUCCA
Molecule: transfer RNA, 72 nt
Filed under: Camelus bactrianus (Bactrian camel)
Lineage: Eukaryota; Metazoa; Chordata; Mammalia; Artiodactyla; Camelidae
Also listed under: 3 other names
Rfam family: tRNA
About the family: Transfer RNA (tRNA) molecules are approximately 80 nucleotides in length.
Source: Rfam by way of RNAcentral